RNAcentral lists this ribosomal RNA (465 nucleotides) under uncultured bacterium. Its description in RNAcentral is "partial 16S ribosomal RNA". It matches the Rfam family "Bacterial small subunit ribosomal RNA", at positions 28 to 507 of the family's 1533-position model. The record is from RNAcentral.
GACGAACGCUGGCGGCGUGCUUAACACAUGCAAGUCGAACGGAAAGGCCCCUUCGGGGGUACUCGAGUGGCGAACGGGUGCGUAACACGUGAGUAACCUGCCCUUGACUUCGGGAUAACUUCAGGAAACUGGGGCUAAUACCGGAUAGGAAUCCUUGCUGCAUGGUGGGGGUUGGAAAGCUUCGGCGGUUUUGGAUGGACUUGCGGCUUAUCAGCUUGUUGGUGGGGUAGUGGCUUACCAAGGCUUUGACGGGUAGCCGGCCUGAGAGGGCGACCGGCCACAUUGGGACUGAGAGACGGCCCAGACUCCUACGGGAGGCAGCAGUGGGGAAUAUUGCACAAUGGGCGGAAGCCUGAUGCAGCAACGCCGCGUGCGGGAUGACGGCCUUCGGGUUGUAAACCGCUUUCAGCAGGGGCGAAGCUUGUGGUGACGGUACCUGCAGAAGAAGCACCGGCUAACUACGUG